AAUUAGGGAAGUUGUGACUAGUCUUUUUAGAGACCCUGAAAACUCUAAGUUUGGAGUUAUUAUCAUUCUCAAUGUGCUUUAGCUCCUAGAAAGGUCACUAACUUGGGACUUGACAUAUGUUCCUCAACCAUUUUACAACAUUAUAUUCAUACCCUUUUUCCUAAACCUAGUUGUGUCCAUAAGAAAAUUCAGUUAUUAGAAACCCAUCCUCUGGUUGAUGUGGUUAACCCCGGCUACGAUACCUCAAUUGAAUUUGUUUUCCCACCAAAAAAAAUUCUCCAAUAGUGGGAACUUAUGAAAUUCAAAAGUGUCAGAUAUUAAAGCACAUUCUCCAUUGCACAUGGUGGAAACUAAACACGAGGGUUGCGCUCGUUGCGGGACUUAACCCAACACCUUACGACACGAGCUGACGACAGCCAUGCACCACUUGUAUCCGCGUUCCCGAAGGCACCCCUCUCUUUCAAGAGGAUUCGCGACAUGUCAAGCCCUGGUAAGGUUCUUCACUUUGCAUCGAAUUAAACCACAUGCUCCACCGCUUGUGCGGGCCCCCGUCAUUUCCUUUGAGUUUCAUUCUUGCGAACGUACUCCCCAACGGGAUACUUAACGCGUUAGCUACAACACUGCACGGGUCGAUACGCACAACGCCUAGUAUCCAUCGUUUACGGCUAGGACUACUGGGGUAUCUAAUCCCAUUCGCUCCCCUAGCUUUCGUCUCUCAGUGUCGGCCCAGCAGAAUGCUUUCGCCGUUGGUGUUCUUCCCGAUCUCUACGCAUUUUACCGCUCCACCAGAAAUUCCCUCUGCCUCUACCUUAAUCCAGCUUGGUAGUUUCCACCGCCUGUCCAGGGUUGAGCCCUGGGAUUUGCAGUGGACUUGAAAAGCCACCUACAGACGCUUUACGCCAUAUCAUUCCGGAUAACGCUUGCAUCCCAAGAUACCGUCAUUGCUUCUUCUCCGGGAAAAGUAGUUCAUGACCCGUGGGCCUUCUACCUCCACGCGGCAUUGCUCCGUCAGGCUUUCGCCCAUUGCGUAAAAUUCCCCACUGCUUCCUCCCAUAGGAGUCUGGGCCGUGUCUCAAUCCUAGUGUGGCUGAUCAUCCUCUCGGACCAGCUACUGAUCAUCGCCUUGGUAAGAUAUUUCCUCACCAACUAGCUAAUCAGACGCGAGCCCCUCCUCGGGCCGAUUCCUCCUUUUUCUCCUCAGCCUACGGGGUAUUAGCAUCCGUUUCCAGCUGUUGUUCCCCUCCCAAGGGCAGGUUCUUACCCGUUACUCACCCGUCCACCACUGGAAACACCACUUCCCGUCCGACUUGCAUGUGUUAAGCAAUCCGUAUCUUUUCGUCCACGGAGGGUGAGUCAGGGCCUAAGAUCAGGCCGAAAGGCGUAGUCGAUGGACAACAAGUGAAUAUUCCUGUACUACCCCUUGUUGGUACCGAGGGACGGAGGAGGCUAGGUUAGCCGAAAGAUGGUUAUCGGUUCAAGGACGCAAGGUGACCUUAGGGUAAGAAAAGGUAGAGAAAAUACCUUAAGCCAAUGUCUGAGUGCUAGGCGCUACGACGCUGAAGUAACUCAUUCCAUACUCCUAGGAAAAGCUCGAACGACCUUCAACAAAAGGGUACCUGUACCCGAAACAGACACAGGUGGGUAGCUAGAGAAUACCUAGGGGAGCGAGACAAGUCUCUCUAAGGAACUCGGAAAAAUAGCCUCGUAACUUCGGGAGAAGGGGUGCCUCCUCACAAAGAGGGUCGCAGUGACCAGGCCCGGACGACUGUUAACCAAAAACACAGGUCUCCGCAAAGUCGUAAGACCAUGUACGGGGGCUAACGCUUGUCCAGUGACGGAAGGUCAAGGAAGUUGGUGACCUGAUGACAGGGAAGUCGGCGACCGAAGCCCCGAUGAACGGCGACCGUAACUAUAACGGUCCUAAGGUAGCGAAAUUUCUUGUCGGGUAAGUUCUGACCCGCACGAAAGGCGUAACGAUCUGGGCACUGUCUCGAAGAGAGGCUCGGUGAAAUAGACAUGUCUGUGGAGAUGCGGACUACCUGCACCUGGACAGAAAGACCCUAUGAAGCUUUACUGUUCCCUGGGAUUGGCUUUGGGCUUUUCCUGCGCAUCUUAGGUGGAAGGCGAAGAAGGCCUCCUUCCGGGGGGCCCGAGCCAUCAUUGAGAUACCACUGGAAGAGCUAGAAUUCUAACCUUGUGCCAGGACCUACUAGCCAAGGGACAGUCUCAGGUGGACAGUUUCUAUGGGGCGUAGGCCUCCCAAAAGGUAAGGGAGGCGUGCAAAGGUUUCCUCGGGACGGACGAAGAUUGGCCCUCGAGUGCAAAGGCAGAAGGGAGCUUGACUGCAAGACCGACCCGUCGAGCAGGGACGAAAGUUUACCUUAGUGAUCCGACGGUUUCGAGUGGAAGGGUCGUCGCUCAACGGAUAAAAGUUACUUUAGGGAUAACAAGCUGAUCUUCCCCAAGAGUUCACAUCGACGAGAAGGUUUUCACCUCGAUAUCGGCUCUUCGCCACUUAGGGUUGUAGUAUGUUCCAAGGGUUGGGUUGUUCCCCCAUUAAAACGGUACAUGAGCUGGGUUCAGAACGUCGUGAGACAAUUCGGUCCAUAUCCGGUGUGGGCGUUAGAGCAUUGAGAGGACCUUUCCCUAGUACGAGAGGACCGGGAAGGACGCACCUCUGGUGUACCAGUUAUCGUGCCCACGGUAAACGCUGGGUAGCCAAGUACGGAGCGGAUAACUUAUGAAAGCAUCUAAGUAGUAAUCCCACCCCAAGAUGAGUGUUCUCCUAUUCCGACUUCCCCAAAGCCUCCGGUAGCACAGCCGAGAUAGCGACGGGUUCUCUUCCCCUGCGGGGAUGGAGCGACAUAAGUUUUGAGAAUCCAAGAGAAGGUCACGGCGAGACGAUCCGUUUAUCAUUACGAUAGGUGUCAAGUGGAAGUGCAGUGAUAUAUGUAGCUGAGGCAUCCUAACAGACCGAUAGACUUGAAC
This 2988-nucleotide ribosomal RNA is filed under the name Papaver somniferum (opium poppy). Its description in RNAcentral is "bacterial LSU rRNA". The stretch from base 1064 to 2988 matches the Rfam family "Bacterial large subunit ribosomal RNA". Lineage: Eukaryota; Viridiplantae; Streptophyta; Magnoliopsida; Ranunculales; Papaveraceae. The record is from RNAcentral.